Molecule: ribosomal RNA, 460 nt
Filed under: uncultured bacterium
Lineage: Bacteria
Description: partial 16S ribosomal RNA
Rfam family: Bacterial small subunit ribosomal RNA
Source: RNAcentral
CCUACGGGGGGCAGCAGUGAGGAAUAUUGGUCAAUGGGCGAGAGCCUGAACCAGCCAAGUCGCGUGAAGGAUGACGGCCCUACGGGUUGUAAACUUCUUUUGUCAGGGAGCAAUUGGGUCCACGCGUGGGCUUAGCGAGAGGACCUGUAGAAAAAGCAUCGGCUAACUCCGUGCCAGAGGCCGCGGUAAUAGGGAGGAUGCGAGCGUUACCCGGUUUUAUUGGGUUAAAGGGGUGCGUAGGCGGAGUAUCAAGUCAGCGGGAAAAAUUCGGGGUUCAACCCCGUCGUGCCGUUGAAACUGUUGUUCUUGAGUGGGCGAGAAGUAUGCGGAAUGCGUGGUGUAGCGGUGAAAUGCAUAGAUAUCACGCAGAACUCCGAUUGCGAAGGCAGCAUACCGGCGCCCAACUGACGCUGAAGCACGAAAGCGUGGGUAUCGAACAGGAUUAGAUACCCUAGUAGUC